UUAAUUAUAUUUAGUUAUAAUUUUUCAGACAUGAUUUAAUAAAGAAUUUUGAAUAGGCUAUCGGCAAGCACUGGCCAGAGGUGACUGAACGCCCCCGGCGGUCGUCGAUCCCGGUUAAAGGAUGUUCGGACGGGCCUGCCAAAGCAACAAAGUGUUUUAUACAAAGGGUUGGAGGUUCGGGCUCGAGAUGAGACCCUAACUCAGUAAUGAUCCUUCCGCAGGUUCACCUACGGAAA
This 236-nucleotide unclassified non-coding RNA is filed under the name uncultured fungus. Its description in RNAcentral is "sequence contains ITS1". Lineage: Eukaryota; Fungi. The record is from RNAcentral.